Molecule: RNA transcript, 3647 nt
Organism: Nymphaea colorata (pocket water lily)
Lineage: Eukaryota; Viridiplantae; Streptophyta; Magnoliopsida; Nymphaeales; Nymphaeaceae
Gene name: ubiquitin carboxyl-terminal hydrolase 18-like
Exons: 11
Source: RefSeq, a predicted model, not a curated record
UAUUUUUCUUACCUUCAACCUCCCCUGAGGAAGCAAGACAAAAGUUAAAACGAGAUCGCCAGACAAAUGCCAACAGAAGCGGAGAGAGGACAAUCAAAGCCUUUGCCCCUUCUUCUACCCAUCAACGUAUAAAGGGUGGGGAGAGUUCCUUUCGUCGUCCAAAGCGUGGGAGAAGCUCAGGAGCAGAAAAGAAGAGGGGAGAGGACAGAGUUAUGAGAGUUCUGUAGUGGGGGAGAUAGAGAUUUUGUCGUGAUCCAUGAAGGAGAGGGAGGCGAGAGACGGCGUCCUCCAUCCUCCCUUCUUCUUCUUCUUCUUCUUCUGCUUCUUCUUCUGUCAAUGCUAAGCUCCGAAAUCCUCUACUUCGAUUUGACUACGCUCCUUAAGGUCCUUCUCACUGCCUUCAUCGUUGGAGUCGCCGCAGUUCGGGUCGUCAGGGACACAGCGUCCAAACAUCUGACUGUGGGGAGGUUUGGUGGCGGCGCUGAUUCGGACGCCUAUCGGCCGGAGGUGUCUCGGUACACGAUGGCGGCGGAUGAGGUGGUCGAGGAGGUUUGCCACGUCUGCCGGAGUCCGACCAGCAAGAAGUGCGCGCGGUGUAAGGCUGUGCGUUAUUGCUCUCCUAGUUGCCAGAAGCAAGACUGGAAUGCAGGACACAAUAUCAAGUGCAAAACGACUGUGGCUCAGAAUGAUAGAAGCUUGAAAAAUGCCAAAAAUAAAUCUACCAUACGAACAGGCUUUCUUUCUAGUGCUGACUCAGUGUUGCCUGCGCGGGCAACAUGCAAGGUUCUACGUCAGCCAAGAAAGGUUCUUUUUCCGUACAAUGAAUUUGUGGAGCUCUUUAAUUGGGACAAGCCAGGGUUGCCACCUUGUGGUCUUCUAAACUGUGGUAACAGUUGUUUCGCAAAUGUGAUUCUACAAUGCCUUGCUUCAACUCGACCGCUGGUUGCCUACUUGGUUGAAAAAGAUCAUUCUAAAGAAUGUAGUAGGAAUGACUGGUGCUUCUUAUGUGAACUUCAAACCCAUAUUCAUCGACUGAGGCAGAGCUCAAACCCAUUUUCACCUAUCAAUAUUCUUUCACGCAUUCCUAACAUUGGUGGCAACCUUGGAUAUUGGCAACAGGAGGAUGCACAUGAGUUUAUGAGAUUUGCAAUUGAUACCAUGCAGUCUGUGUGCCUUGAUGAGUUCGGGGGAGAAAAAGUUGUUGAACCUAGCAGUCAAGAGACAACCCUUAUCCAUCACAUAUUUGGUGGCCGUCUCCAAUCUCAGGUUGUAUGCUCAAGAUGUGAUAAAGUCUCAAAUAGGUAUGAGAACAUGAUGGAUUUAACUGUUGAAAUUCAAGGAGAUGCUGAAUCUCUGGAAGAAUGUCUUCAACAUUUCACUGUAAAAGAGUGGCUUGAUGGAGAAAAUAUGUACAAAUGUGAAGGAUGUAGUGCUUAUGUGAAAGCAUGGAAGCGCCUUACUGUUCAUCAGGCUCCAAAUAUUCUUACUAUUGCUCUAAAGAGAUUCCAGGUUAUUUAUACUUUUGUUUUUCUUCUAAUCAAGAGAUUUCUGAUUGGAGACUAUUUUUGUGACCUUUCAUGCUGCCAAUUUCAGAGUGGAAGAUUUGGAAAGUUAAACAAGCGAGUUACUUUUCCAGAAACAUUGGAUCUUGGUCCAUACAUGAGUGAAGCUGGGGAGUCUACCGAUAUUUACAAGCUUUAUGCUGUAGUAGUUCAUAUUGACAUGCUUAAUGCUUCAUUUUUUGGACACUACAUAUGCUAUACAAAGGAUAUCCAGGGAACCUGGUAUAGAAUCGACGAUUGCAAGGUGAUGAAAGUAGAGUUGGAUGAAGUACUCUCUCAAAGGGCUUAUAUGCUCCUAUAUAGCAGGGCACAUGUGCGCCCAGCUACUCAUGAACCUUUGGAAAGGUUGAACAAUGAUAAUGAGCAACCAGUACAAACUGAAGAAAUCCAGAAAACUGCCGAGUCUGCAAAUGUCAAUGUCAUCAGGUCAGAACCUGCUACAUCUUCCGGAAGCUCAGAAUCUGAUCUCAACAGGAAGCCUGAUAUUCUGAACCAAGGAGAGGAGUUGGAAUUUGAGGUCAAUCAUGCAAGUGGGAAGAAAGAUCCAAUCAAGGAAUCUUUCUCUCUUACAGCGAGUAACAUGGUUGACUCCUGUAAUUGUUCUCCUGCUUCAGGAAAUGGCAGUGUCACUUUGCCACCUGAGAACUUGCCAACCGUUAUUUCCUUUGACGAGUCAUCUUCAAUGCUGGAAGCAUCCGUUUCCAGAAAUGAAGAGGCAGAUUCAAGUGCAGAUAUACAUGUUCAUUUCGAAAGUGAAAAAGGCACAGUAAGCAAUCACAAGUUGGAUUCGUUUGAAUGUCCAAAUGGAUCAUCUUCGGCUGACAGUAUGUUUUCGAAGCAUUCUAAUGAUACUCUGCCAGAUUGUGGCCCGCCCAAGGACUGUUGCUUGUCUGUUGAUGGUGUCAACCAUGCUGCUGUAUCAUCACCAAAAUCUUCCACGGAGCUGCCUAUGGAUGCAAAUUCUCAUCCUCUAGUGUCUGUUGCAAAUCAUCCAUUCAUGUGCAAGAAAUUGGACAACGGUAUUGCUGAAAAUGGAAGAACUUGCUCAGGUGAGGUUAAAAAUGACAAUCCUUUGUCAUCCCUGAAGGAAAGUUUUGGUGCUAGAUCCACGGGUGAACAAUAUGUCAUUCCUUCCAUGUGCAAUAAAGUGGAGAAUGGAAAUAUUCGGAAUGAAGAUUGCUCAAAUGAGAUGGCAGAUGAUAGCCCGUUGUUGUCUCCUAAGAAAGGCAUGCAACGUCCUGCGAGGAGAUCAAAGCCAGUUUUUGCUCCUGGUUUCCUUAACACGCCAGCUAGAAAAAAGUCACUAGAUACUGCCAGAUAAAUCAGAGGUUGCAUCAUAUGAUCCAAUUGAUUGCUAUUCUUAAAUCUGAUUGUGACAUGAAAAUUACCAUAUACUGAAAUGGCUUGCCUAAUUGUUGGACUUGUAGUGGCACUUUCAAAGAAUCUGAAUGCUUUACUACCAAAAUUACCAAAAUGCAGAGAACAAGUCACAGGACCUAAUCACAUUGGACAGAUGGCGUAAGCGGUUGAAAGGGGCACUUGCCUACGCGAAUCAGGGCCACACAUUCAUGUGACAUUGGCUGCCAGAUCAGCAUAGGCAGGUGGGAGGAGGAACUGACGUGCAUUAUUGGGACUUGCUUCUUGUAGCUAGUUUGGGGUUACAUCAUUCUUAGCUCUUGCAUGGGUCUCUGCCACUAAUAAAAAAAAAAAAUUAGUGGAUUUGGGGUCUUUGGGUUUCAAUAUUUGUAGGAGACCCAUUAAGUGCAGGAGCAGACGAUCUUUGGUAUACAAACCAAUUUUUCAUUGUGGUGCUACAUAAUUUGGAGAAAUGUUAUUGCAUUGUUUGCUCAUGGAGGCUAUUAUUGGAUGGGCAGACCAUAGCACAUCAACAUAUAAUACAAAAAGCCUUUUGUUGAGUGUAGUUGGUACCAGAGGAUAACUUUAAGAUCCUACUGUAUCACUCGGUUGCAGUUUGUAUUUCUGAUUUUCGGUGAUUAACACGUACAAGAUGGAGUCGUGUUGGUUCUUUUCUUUGUUGGACCUAGAAAACUGAUUGUUUUCUGAGAAUCAAUUCACAGUUUUCUU